CGGGAUGGAUCGUGAGACGGUUCAUGGGACGGAUCGUGGGCCGGUUCGUGGGACGGAUCGUGAAGACGUACCACUACAUCAACCACGUUUAUUAACGCUUCUGCUUAGCGUUCUACAAGGGUAUGUGGAUCUGAUCUCCCUCUUGUAGAUGAUCAUCACCAUGAUAGGUCUUCGUGUGCGUAGGAAAUUUUUGUUUCCCAUACUAUGUUCACCAAUAGUGGUAUCAGAGCGAGGUUCAUGCGUAGAUGUAAUCUCGAGUAGAACACAAAAGUUUUUAUGGG
RNAcentral lists this long non-coding RNA (281 nucleotides) under Hordeum vulgare. RNAcentral's name for it is "long non-coding RNA (HVUL_LNC018218)". The record is from RNAcentral. Lineage: Eukaryota; Viridiplantae; Streptophyta; Magnoliopsida; Poales; Poaceae.